GAUUUUAUGGCAGAAAAAUGCAUUUAGUUUAGACCUAAAAGAUAAAAUUGAAUUUUUAAAAUCA
RNAcentral lists this transfer RNA (64 nucleotides) under Megalurothrips usitatus (bean blossom thrips). Its description in RNAcentral is "tRNA-Leu". Lineage: Eukaryota; Metazoa; Arthropoda; Insecta; Thysanoptera; Thripidae. The record is from RNAcentral.